CAAGCUGGAAAUUCCAGACAA
Molecule: non-coding RNA, 21 nt
Filed under: Arabidopsis thaliana (thale cress)
Lineage: Eukaryota; Viridiplantae; Streptophyta; Magnoliopsida; Brassicales; Brassicaceae
Source: RNAcentral